UUCUUUUAGAAUAAAUUAAAAGUAUCUUCUGCUCCAUGAAUUUUAAAUAGCCGCAGUAUUCUGUGCUAAGGUAGCAUAAUCAAUUGUUUAUUAAUUGUAAACUUGUAUGAAAGAAGGAAUAAUGUAUAAUUUUAUUUUUCUUAAAUUGAUGAAUUUAGAAUUUUGGUAAAGAUACCAAAUAAAGAUAUAGGGACAAGAAGACCCUAUAAAGCUUUACAAUAAUAUUAAAUCUAAUUUAAUCAUUUGUUUUAUUGGGGCAAUAAAUUAUUUCUAAGCAAUAUAAUUAAAAUAUAAAAUUAAUAUUCAUUUUAGAUCCAUUUUUAAUGAUUAAUUAAACAAGUUACUUUAGGGAUAACAGGAUAAUUUUUAUUAUGAAGUACAAAUUUAUAAUGAAGAUUGUUACCUCGAUGUUGGAUUAAUUAAUUUAAAUAAUGAAGAAGUUAUUAGAAUUUGGCUGUUCGCCAAUUAAAAAAUUACA
RNAcentral lists this ribosomal RNA (478 nucleotides) under Chileogovea oedipus. RNAcentral describes it as "partial 16S large subunit ribosomal RNA". It matches the Rfam family "Bacterial large subunit ribosomal RNA", at positions 1830 to 2600 of the family's 2925-position model. The record is from RNAcentral. Lineage: Eukaryota; Metazoa; Arthropoda; Arachnida; Opiliones; Pettalidae.